CCUACGGGAGGCAGCAGUGGGGAAUAUUGCACAAUGGGGGAAACCCUGAUGCAGCGACGCCGCGUGCGUGAAGAAGUCUUUCGGUAUGUAAAGCUCUAUCAGCAGGGAAGAAAAUGACGGUACCUGCCUAAGAAGCCCUGGCUAACUACGUGCCAGCAGCCGCGGUAAUCCGUAGGGGGCAAGCGUUAUCCGGAUUUACUGGGUGUAAAGGGAGCGUAGACGGCGGAACAAGUCAGAAGUGAAAACCCGGGGCUCAACCCUGGGAGUGCGUUUGCAACUGGUUGGCUGGAGUGCAGGAGAGGUAAGCGGAAUUCGUAGUGGAGCGGUGAAAUGCGUAGAUAUUAGGAGGAACACCAGUGGCGAAGGCAGCUUACUGGACUGUAACUGACGUUGAGGCGCGAAAGCGUGGGGAGCAAACAGGAUUAGAUACCCGGGUAGUC
Molecule: ribosomal RNA, 440 nt
Filed under: uncultured bacterium
Lineage: Bacteria
Description: partial 16S ribosomal RNA
Rfam family: Bacterial small subunit ribosomal RNA
Source: RNAcentral